AGCGAACGCUGGUGGCAGGCCUAACACAUGCAAGUCGAACGAACUCUUCGGAGUUAGUGGCGGACGGGUGAGUAACACGUGGGAACGUGCCUUUUGGUUCGGAAUAACUCAGGGAAACUUGUGCUAAUACCGAAUGUGCCCUUCGGGGGAAAGAUUUAUCGCCAUUAGAGCGGCCCGCGUCUGAUUAGCUAGUUGGUGAGGUAACGGCUCACCAAGGCGACGAUCAGUAGCUGGUCUGAGAGGAUGACCAGCCACACUGGGACUGAGACACGGCCCAGACUCCUACGGGAGGCAGCAGUGGGGAAUCUUGCGCAAUGGGCGAAAGCCUGACGCAGCCAUGCCGCGUGAAUGAUGAAGGUCUUAGGAUUGUAAAAUUCUUUCACCGGGGACGAUAAUGACGGUACCCGGAGAAGAAGCCCCGGCUAACUUCGUG
RNAcentral lists this ribosomal RNA (433 nucleotides) under uncultured bacterium. Its description in RNAcentral is "partial 16S ribosomal RNA". It matches the Rfam family "Bacterial small subunit ribosomal RNA", at positions 29 to 507 of the family's 1533-position model. The record is from RNAcentral.